RNAcentral lists this long non-coding RNA (5982 nucleotides) under Salvia miltiorrhiza (redroot sage). RNAcentral describes it as "long non-coding RNA (SMIL_LNC007577)". Lineage: Eukaryota; Viridiplantae; Streptophyta; Magnoliopsida; Lamiales; Lamiaceae. The record is from RNAcentral.
AAAUAUAGAGUCCCUCCCCAAAGAGCUAUUGUUUGAAAUCCUCCUCCAUUUGCCGGCCGAUCAUCUCUACGAGAGAGCGAGGCUCGUGUGCCGGCGGUGGUACCACAUUAUCCAUUCUCAUGCCUUCAUCAACGCGCAGAUGCACGGUGCUACCUAUGGCCUCCUUUUAUCACCCCCAAACUGGAUUAAUACUCUGCCACUUUAUGUAACAGCCCACGCAGACGGUGGAAUCCACACAUCUAAGAUAACUCACCUCUCCAAAUCGAGAGUUGUUGCUACCUGCAACGGUUUGGAGUUGGAAGCCAAAGGUUACCAAUUCCCUCGUCUUGUGAUUGUGAAUCCUGCAACGAAGCAGUCAUUCCACCUCCCACCAUUGCCUACAAGCGUAAAUGUAAUCUAUGCCGUGCUCCGGUAUGGUUUUGCAUACUCUGCAGCUUCCUUGGCGUAUAAAGUGAUUGCACCGUACCUUUUUGGCCAAUCGCCACCACGCCUAGAAACUGACUGCGGUCUUGACGUGCUCACCGUUGGAAUCGAUGAAUCCUGGAGGCACGUUGAGGUUCACCACCUCCCCGACCAUUUCAGGCCAUUUUUGUUCUUCAUGGAUCCCUUGACUAGUGAAGGUUUCGUGCAUUGGGGAAGGGGGAGAUACUGCGCGACGAUGGAUGUGGAGACGGAGAUCAUUACACUGAGUGAAGCCCCUCAUCAGUACCAUGAAAACAACUAUAAAUAUCUGUCGACUGGGAGGUGUCUGUCUCUCCUGGUAGCGUGUGGGGAUCUGUCGUGGGAGGUUUGGGAGAUGAAGGCAGAGACGGGCGAGUGGAGGAAGGCGCUGCCCAACGUCGACUUGGGAGCUAAGAAAUGCAUGAUUCAACAGCUUGCUCCUAAAGAUGCUCCUCGAGUUCUUGUGCCACUUGGUUGGGUUAACUAUCCACAGGUUUUGGCCUUCUAUUUUGGCGAAGAUAUUUAUCAUGGGUGCCAAUGGCGGCCUUUCAUUUUCUACAAUCUUGAUACGCAUAAACUCUACUCCAUAGAGCUUCCACAAUCCAAUAUUAGUGAGUAUGGGGCUUUUCCGCAUAAGAAUAAUCUGACAUGGCUAAGCUAAAAGAGUAUUAUUGUUUAUAUUUGGUUUAAGUUAAAAGAAUUUAUAUAUUUUGGGGCAAUUUUAAAAAAUAUUUUAUGAUGUUUAUUUCUUCAAGACGCAUCAGCUCAUGUUGUCCAAAUAUUUUAUUUUAGUGAAAGAGUAGUAGUGUUGAAGGAGAUAGAAUAUUUAUAAUCACUUUUGAAUGGACACCUAUAACAAUCACAUUGCUAUUGGAUUACAAAUCAGCGUAUAUUCUGUUUGAGAAUAUUUUGAAUGAAAUUAUGUAAUACAAGCUCAAAAGUAAGGUAAAGUCAUUUUUGCAAUAACUCGUAUACACUACCCAUUGUCAAACACGCCAAAAAUGGGGUUAGAUCCAUCUGCUACAAAAUCUUAGGCAACGUGGUUUUGUUCGCAAAUUAGGCAAACAAGUAAUUUCUUUGUACAAUACAUUAUUCAUUUUAGACUUAGUGCAUGUUUGGUUCAAGUAGAGGAAUUGAAAGAGAAUGGAAUCAAAUAGAGGAGUGGAAUGGUUUUAAUAACUAUUACUUUUAUUGAGUGUUUGGUUUAACCAUGGAAAUGAAUCAUUAGUAAGGGAUUCCCUUUCCUUUUGUUUUCCCUCUAUUUUGAGGGAUAAUAAAUUAGGUGAUUGGGUUACCCUCAAGUCAGGGUAAUGGUUAACUCAUCACCCAAACCAAACAUUGAGUAAUGGAUUCAAUUAAUUGAUUCCCUUUCCAAUCUCUAAAAACACCCAACCAAACGUGGGCUAAUAGUGCUAUGCUAUGUAUGUAGAUCCAUAUGUUGUUGCUAGGAAGCACCGGUACGUUUUUGGGUGAAGCGUCCUGGUAUUAAUACCAAAAAAUACCAAGACGUUAAAAAUACGCCUAAACGAUGUAUUUAAUACGUUUUUUCGUAUUUUUUUUAAACUUACUUUUAGGGUUGGGAAAUGCGUAUUUAAUACGUUCUCGAGACGUUUUUUGACUAAAAAAUACGUCUGACCAGAUUUAAAAAAAAAAGAAAAAAAAAGAAAAAAAGAAGAAAACCAGACCCACUCUCAUUUCUCUCGUAAACCUUCACCCACCCUGCGCAAGAAGACAAGGCAGCGCCGUUCUCCGCCACCGAUCUGGACCGCCGCCUUCUGGACUGCCGUAAUUGCUAAGAUUAUCUAAUUUUUGUGGGUAUUUAACGUAAGACAUCAGUGGGUAUUUUUUGGAAUUGAAUCUUUGAUUUGUGUGAGGUAGGGUGAGUGGGUUAACUAAUACUCCCUCCGUCCCAUUGGGCUUGUCCUAUUUGGUUUCGGCACGGUUAUUAAGGAGAGUAGUAGUAGUGUUAAGUGUGUAGAUAAAGUAGGAGAGAGAAGGUGAUAAAGUAGGAGAGAGAAAGUGAUAAAGUGAUAAAGUAUGAGUGUUAUUUAUAGAAAUGAGACAAGAUGGUGGGACAAACAAAAAAGAAAUACGGGACAAGAUCAAUGGGACGGAGGGGGUAAUUGAUUGUUUAUUGCUAUUGGGGUAUAUUGGCGGUGGGUAUGGGUGAGUGGGUUAAUUAAUAAUUGAUUGUUUAUUGCUAUUGGGGUAUAUUGGCGGUGGGUAUAUUAAUAUUGGGGUGGGUAGCAGAUUGCCUAAUUAGGCUAAUUUGUGAACUAACUUCUAAGUUUUAAUAAUUAAGUACUCCCUCCGUCCCAUUAUUCAUGACACGUAUUCCUUUUUGGGUUGUCCCAACCUACAUGACACAUUUCCUUUUUUGGAAAAAAUCAGGGGGCAUUUAAGCAUUAAUAUAUUCGCUAAUUAUCCACCUAAUCACUAAUUAUCCACCUAAAACUCAUUUCCUACUUCUUCUUCUCUCUCUCCUUCCCCCACCUACCAGCCGCCUCCCUUCUCUUCUAAAAUUCUCGGCCACCACCGCCCGUCGAUCUGCCGGCCACCACCGUCAUUUCCUCUCUUCCUCUAUUCUCAGUUUCUCACGCACCCACUCAACCAGUGAACCCAAAUCCUAAGUCUUCGCUCGUCGCCUCCACUUUUCUCUCUCCGUUGAAGAGCGCCGCCGCCGGCUUCGCUCUCCCCUCUCUCGCCAAAUUUUUCCGCUCGAUUCCCGGUGACGACAGCCAACCUCCGCCGCGCCCAAGCCCCUGCCUCCCUCUCUGAUCACUCCAUCGUGCCUCCUCCGUCGUCGACGAAAUCUUCAGCCCCACCGCCAGGAGACGCAGCAGCGGCGCGGUCCGCCUCCACCCUCGGCGUAGCCCCUUUCCGCCUCCACUCUAGUUUCUGGAUUAUCAAUUUUUGUCUUCAAUACUUGGGUUUCAAUGUUUGUGGGUAGAUCUGGUUUUGAUAUUUGUUUCGAUUUUGAUAUGGUGAUUGGGUUACUCGGUAUCAAGGAAACUCAUGACUACACGAUGUAUUUAAGUCAUUUCACGUUAAUUUUACCAAAGAAGAAUUUAUAGUUUGAGAAUGCUUCCCAAGGAAGGUUCAACUUCAAGCACUCACACCCUCCACCGUCAGGUGUUGUUUGGCUUGACGUAGCUAUCAAAUUGAGAUGUUGAUGUUGAGGUCAAUUGUGAAUUCUAAACAAGGCUACUAUUGUUGCUCAAUAUGGAAGGUAUCAAAUUUCGUUCUAUUUUAUGCUAAUGUUAUUCGAAAGAUGGAAAUUUUAGAGUUGUGUUUUGAUUUAUUCCAUUAAAAUUUUAGAGUUAAUUUAUUUAAAUUUUAUAAAUAAUUCAUCAAAGUCGGCAUUAAUUUGACCACCAAAAAAUUUGUGUUAAAAUUAUUCUGUUAAAAAAGUUAAUGUAUUUUUUUGUCGUAUUAAAAAUUAAAAUUCUUCCAAAGUUUAUAUCCGCCAAUUAAAAAGAAAGAAAAAAAAAGUUCGCUUGUAUUUACAUUUGGAUUUGGGCGGAAACUGCUGCAUUUAUUUGGACCCACACCCACCGCUUGUAAUAAUUCAUUUACUCCGCCGCCGCGUUCUACACAAUUCACCGGAAAUCGAAAAGUUGAAAUGCUUCGUCCGAAACUAGCCUCCCGCAAGCCGCCACCUCCACGGCGUUGCUGCACCGACGGCAGCGUUUCGGAUCCCCAUUCCGACAUUCUUAGUAGAGAUUCGGUAAGCACUCUCCCUUAUAUUUCAUAUGCAGAUGCCUCUCUUUCAAAAUUAGGUUACACCUCAAAUUCCUUAAUUAUGCGUAUACAUUUCAUAGAAAAGGUUUUUUUAUUUGAAAUUUAGGUUAGAGAUUAGUAUAAAAAGACAUUGAUAUGCAUAUGGCUGUCUUAUUCUCUGCAUUUAAGUUUUGGACAGAUAAAACACAUUUAUACAAAUUAGUGAAUUGGUUAGUCGAUUGAUUAGUAGAGUGAUGAUGUUGUACCAAAACAAAAAUUUGUUUAAUAGCCGUCUUACUCUCUGCAUUUCAAAUAUUUAGCUUAAAUUUGGGGCAGAUAAAACACUUGUAUACAAAUUAGUGAAUUGGUUAGUCGAUUGAUUAGUAGAUGAGACAUAUUUGCAGAUGAGACAUAUUUAUGACAAUAUCUGUAUUCAACAAGCAGAUGAUAUACAUUAGAAGUCGGGCUUAUUAUUCCCGGAGGUGUAAAAAGGGGAUGCCAACAAACAUAGAGUCCCUCCCCACAGAGCUAUUGAUUGAAAUCCUCCUCCGAUUGCCGGCCGGUCAUCUCUACGAGAGAGCGAGGCUCGUCUGCCGGCGGUGGUACCACAUUAUCCAUUCUCAUGCCUUCAUCAACACGCAGAUUCACGGUGCUACCUAUGGCCUCCUUUUAUCACCCCCAAACUGGAUUAUUACUCUGCCACUUUAUGUAACAGCCGACGCAGACGGUGGAAUUCACACAGCUAAGAUAACUCACCUCUCCAAAUCGAGAGUUGUUGCUACCUGCAACGGUUUGGAGUUGGAAGCCAAAGGUUACCAAUUCCCUCGUCUUGUGAUUGUGAAUCCUGCAACGAAGCAGUCAUUCCACCUCCCACCAUUGCCUACAGGCGUAAAUGUAAUCUAUGCCGUGCUCCGGUAUGGUUUUGCAUAUUCUGCAGCUUCCUUGGCGUAUAAAGUGAUUGCACCGUACCUAGAAACUGACUACGGUCUUGACGUGCUCACCGUUGGAAUCGAUGAAUCCUGGAGGAACGUUGAGGUUCACCACCUCCCCGACCAUUUCAGGCCAUUUUUGUUCUAUAGGGAUCCCUUGACUAGUGAAGGUUUCGUGCACUGGGGAAGGGGGAGGUACUGUGUGACGAUGGAUGUGGAGACGGAGAUCAUUACACUGAGUGAAGCCCCUUGUGAGUACCAUGAACGCGACUAUUAUUAUCUGUCAACUGGGAGGUGUCUGUCUCUCCUGGUAGCGUGUGGGGAUCUGUCGUGGGAGGUUUGGGAGAUGAAGGCAGAGACGGGCGAGUGGAGGAAGGCGCUGCCCAACGUCGACUUGGGAGCUCAGAAAUGCAGGAUUCAACGUUUAGCUCCUAAAGAUGCUCCUCGAGUUCUUGUGCCACUUGGUUGGGUUAACUAUCCACAGGUUUUGGCCUUCUAUUUUGGCGAAGAUAUUUAUCAUGGGUGCCAAUGGCGGCCUUUCAUUUUCUACAAUCUUGAUACGCAUAAACUCCACUACAUAGAGCUUCCACAAUCCAAUACUAGUGAGUAUGAGGCUUUUCCGCAUAAGAAUAAUCUGAUAUGGCUAAGCUAAAAGAGUAUUAUUGUUAGUAUUAUUGUUUAUAUUUGGUUUAAGUUAAAAGAACUUAUAUAUUUUGGGGCAAUUUUAAAAAAUAUUUUAUGAUGUUUAUUUCUUCAAGACGCAUCAGCUCAUGUUGUCCGAAUAUUUUAUUUUAGUGAAAAGAGUAGUAGUAUUGAAGGUGAUAGAACAUUUAUAAUCACUUUUGAAUGGACACCUAUAACAAUCACAUUGCUAUUGGAUUACAAAUCAGCG